Molecule: non-coding RNA, 115 nt
Organism: Triticum aestivum (bread wheat)
Lineage: Eukaryota; Viridiplantae; Streptophyta; Magnoliopsida; Poales; Poaceae
Source: Rfam
UGAGUACUCCCUCCGUCCGGAAAUACUUGUCAUUGAACUGGGUGUAUCUAGGUAUUUUUUAGUUCUAGAUACAUCCAUUUUAAUGACAAGUAAUUCCGGACGGAGGGAGUAUAUA